This 235-nucleotide ribosomal RNA is filed under the name uncultured bacterium. RNAcentral describes it as "partial 16S ribosomal RNA". It matches the Rfam family "Bacterial small subunit ribosomal RNA", at positions 15 to 240 of the family's 1533-position model. The record is from RNAcentral.
GAUCAUGGCUCAGGAUGAACGCUAGCGGCAGGCUUAACACAUGCAAGUCGAGGGGCAGCAUAAUGGAUAGCAAUAUCUUUGGUGGCGACCGGCGCACGGGUGCGUAACGCGUAUGCAACCUACCUUUAACAGGGGGAUAACACUGAGAAAUUGGUACUAAUACCCCAUAACAUCAUGAAAGGCAUCUUUUAUGGUUGGAAAAAUUACCGAUGGUUAGAGAUGGGCAUGCGUUGUA